UGCAGUCGAGGGGUAACAGAGGUAGCUUGCUACUUGCUGACGACCGGCGCACGGCUGCGUAACGCGUAUAGAACCUACCUUUUACAGGAGAAUAGCCCAGAGAAAUUUGGAUUAAUGCUCCAUAGUAUUAUUGAGUGGCAUCAUUUAAUAAUUAAACAUUUAUGGGUAAAAGAUGGCUAUGCGUUCUAUUAGCUAGAUGGUAAGGUAACGGCUUACCAUGGCAACGAUAGAUAGGGGUCCUGAGAGGGAGAUCCCCCACACUGGUACUGAGACACGGACCAGAUUUCUACGGGAGGCAGCAGUGAGGAAUAUUGGACAAUGGAGGCAACUCUGAUCCAGCCAUGCCGCGUGCAGGAAGACGGCCCUAUGGGUUGUAAACUGCUUUUAUACAGGAAGAAACCUACUUACGUGUAAGUAGCUGACGGUACUGUAAGAAUAAGCACCGGCUAACUCCGUGCCAGCAGCCGCGGUAAUACGGAGGGUGCAAGCGUUAUCCGGAAUCAUUGGGUUUAAAGGGUCCGUAGGCGGGCUAAUAAGUCAGGGGUGAAAUACCACAGCUCAACUGUGGAACUGCCUUUGAUACUGUUAGUCUUGAAUUAUAUGGAAGUAGAUAGAAUGUGUAGUGUAGCGGUG
Molecule: ribosomal RNA, 633 nt
Filed under: uncultured Lutibacter sp.
Lineage: Bacteria; Pseudomonadati; Bacteroidota; Flavobacteriia; Flavobacteriales; Flavobacteriaceae
Description: bacterial SSU rRNA
Rfam family: Bacterial small subunit ribosomal RNA
Source: RNAcentral